This 6409-nucleotide long non-coding RNA is filed under the name Sus scrofa (pig). RNAcentral describes it as "lncRNA (ENSSSCG00000060196.1)". Lineage: Eukaryota; Metazoa; Chordata; Mammalia; Artiodactyla; Suidae. The record is from RNAcentral.
UGAUCAAGCGGUCGGGGUUCCAGCCCUGAGAGCUGUAGUGGGUGUGACUUUGGGGACCAGAACCUCGCAGCCCCUGAGAUCCUGUUACCACCAGAACUGUCGCCUCGCCCUCCCUCGCCGCUUCCAAUGCACACACCGAGCAGGUGCGGUCAGAGGCCAGUGGCUGAUAGGCUCAAAACCCACAAAACAAAAGAAUCGAGAUGAUGACAGACCAGGGUUGCCACUGUGGGAAUCUGGGACCCCCGCCCAGGCCCCAAGGCCGGCAGCUUCUCUUUGGACACUUGCUUCAGAAGAGCGCCCAGGGCUCUGCGCCUUUCCGAGGCCCUUUCUCCUCUGUAUUCUGCUGCUUCUAUCCAUGGCCCCUGAAUGGAAAUGGAAGCUUAAUUUUUCUCGCUUGAAGCCAUUAACACUCUGGGCUCGUGAUGGGAACACCGCUCAGCUUUAAUUAGCCACAGCAAGCUCCCUGCAAGAGCUUCUGUCCCAGCCCGGGACCUCACAGACAAAGGCUUCUCCAUUUCUUCUAAUCACCGCGAUUAAUGAGCCAAUUAAGGCCGUCUCUGGGGGCCCGGCAAGCAGCAGUCUUAGGACCUUGGGCACGCAGCUCUACCCAGCUGCCAGGAAGCGUGCAAAUGCCUGGAGCUGGGAGCCCCGGCUCUGCAGCUCAUCUGCUGUGGGUCCUCAGAUGGAACAAUUGCCCUCUCUGAGCCACUUUCUACCGCAGGGGAGAAUCACAUUGGUUUUCCCCAGGAGCAGUUAUUACAAUAGGAGAAAUUGCAGGGCAGGCAGCCGUUUUCUCAGGAUUUAGCGUGCGUCAGCCUCACCAGGAGGCCUUAUUAAAACGUUUGCCUGGGUUCCAUUCUGAGCUUCUGACUCAGUUGGUCCAGGAAGGGUGGUGUGCAAGAAUUUGCAUUUCUAACAUCUUCCCCAGUGAUGCUGAGGCUGCUAGUUUGAGAAGCACUGCUCCAGACUAGUGAGGUACGACUGGAGGUUUCGAAGGCAGUCCCAUCCAUAAAUGUCCUCGACUCUUUCCUUCACCUGCACCGCACCUGACAGUUCCCAGGAGCCUCCCACCUGGGCUGUCCACAGGAGGACAUGCCAGCCACUGUCACUGUCCGGCAUGGAGGACCCCGGGUGCACUCAGCCUUGGCAGAAUUCGGCAGGACCACUCCUUUGCCUGACCUUGGUUCUAAGAUUCCAGGUCCUGAUGUUGACUGACAUCUCGGAAGACUCCAGCACCUCGUCUGGGAGGGAAAAUUGGAUUGGGACGUCCUGAUUCCAGAGCAGACGCAGCGCAUGGGGUCGUCACCACCGCCGUCGUCGUCAUGACUGAUGCGCUGCCUGGUGGACACAGGCGAGAUGGAGAUGAGCAGGAAGGAGGGCAAGGGGGUGUGGCAGGGUCAUGCGUGGGAUGUGGGGGCACUGGUUAGAUCUACUGUUGCCCGACUGACAUCCCGCUGGAGUCCCUUGGGCUGCAUUUUGCCGUUUCCUUAAGGCAGCAGAGACAGACUCACUCACUUCGGCUGCCGCCCCCUGCCUGCAAUGGCUGAGCGCACGGGUACCGUCAUCCUGUGCUUCCAGCUUUAAAGACAGACAUUUGUGGUCAAAGAUGUUAGCAGUUCAGGUGCUGAGAGUGCUGUGUUUCAGCUGGGGCUGGGGAUCCCCUCUAGACCCCACCCCCACCCCCGAUGCUCCCUCCCACCAGCCGAGUCCUUCUUCAUCCCCUACCCGCCACCCCCACGUCUAGUUCAGCCUUUCCAGCCCACCACGAGUUCCUCAGAGCUUGCUCCUGAGCAUGCUGUCUUUGGUGGUCUUUGCUUUCUGGACAGCGCAUCCCAAAGUGUGUGCCUGGGGGCCUUGGGAGGUGUGCGCAGCUAUGAGAUGAUGAAGUGUCACUCAGGGCGUGCUGGACUCGGUAAAGUAAGUUAGGUCUCUUCUCUGCAGAACUUCUCAGAGCCUUGAGUCUACUCCUGGGGGUUGGGAGACUCAAGAGGGAUGCUUAAGGAGCAGCAUCUCUCAAGCUCCUUUCACCACGGCGUGUACUCUUCCCCCAGAGGCCGGUGUUCUGGUGGAGAGGAGCUUAAGAAGAUUCAGGGGCCUGUGAACAUGGGGUCCCCUCCCUUGUACUGACACCUCUUCCAACCGAAAAAUGUCACAUCUGUGCAGUACAGAGUAGUCCUUACCUUGGAGGGCUAUUGGAAGGUGUAAGUGAGGUGGCAUACAAAAGACACAGCCCAGGGUGAGGUAUACAGUAGGGGCUCAGUAGCUGUGCGUUUUCUCCUCUCCCUCUUGCUCUUCUAGUGGAAGUAUACAGUCAGAGUCACAUAUGAACCGUGCCAAACAGCGUGUGUGACAAGGACUGGGCCUAUGAGGGUAAAGCCACACUCAAAUUCACAGAGUCGGGGACCCGGCCAUCCAAGUGGGCUUCCUGGUGGAGGUGGUCUUUGCCGGGCCAGACUCUGAAGCUAGUUCUCCAGCAAAGGCCUGGAGCAGGGGAGGCAGGAGGGGGAGGCUGUAGAACCGCCUCUCUCUCUGCAAGCAAGCUCCAGCAGGAAUCCUUUCCUUUAUUUUUCUUUUCCACCCUGGAGGCUCAUUUCCCCACCAAAUCCAGCCGACACAGCACUUGCCUUCCCCUCCCACAGCCUGAACUUGGCCAGCCUCUCAAGUUCCAGAGGUGUGAGCCUCAGAGUGGGGCCCUCCUGGCUUGUGGAAAUUUCCCGGGUCCACAGAAGCCUGUUCUACAGACGCCCUCAGGAAGCGCAGGGCAAGCAGGCCACCAGGACCUGGGGUGCUGGCUCAGACCCUAUCUCUCUGACCUUGGCCACAGGGAGGGGUGGGAGGGGUCCACUGAAAGCUGAGGAGGCAGCAGUACCGGAGACUCUCUCCCCCCGACUCUGUGCCACCCCCGACCCUGACCUGCGCCCACCAACAGACAUCCCUCUGAACCAGGUGUUACUUCCUCCUCAACUCAUGUACUCUCCUACACUGUCUUCGAGUCCCCAAUUUACUGGUGAGAAAACACGCUCCGAGUCAGCUUUGAAACCGGGUCCAUUGGGUUCAAAGUCCAAGCUCUUUCUGGAGCCGUCAUUCCCUUUGUGCCCUUCCUUGUUUGUCUGGCAUGUCACCACCUCCAGAAAGCCUUCCUGGUCAUCACCCAAGGCCACGCUUCUCUCCCCUUCCGAGUGCCUACUGUUGGAACCACAAGGCACAUCUCCGUACUUGUGGGCAGAAAAGGACUCGGAUGUGCCUGGCACAGCAGUGAUCUCUGUUGAGAGAAGGGGUGAAAAGGCGCAGUUUUCAGGAGUACACAGACCUGUCAGGUGCUUUGCCUCCCUGUCCAGUCCUGAGCUGCUCAGCUUCUUCUCACCCCGCCACUAUUCUCCACCCGUCCUCACGCCCCGCGGGCUGGCCUCGCAGACACGUACUGACUCCCCUCUGCAAGGCGUCAUCCGUUUCCCCUCCUGCCACUCAGCUUGCCUCCUGGACGUCAGCAGGACCCCCAGAUAUUCAUGAGCAGCCCCUGCGGCUGGGCACCCUCAGAGGGCCCGGUGGGAGCUUCUCUUCCUCCAAACGAGCUGCAGUCCAGCACGUCCGCGUCAGACCCGGAGCUCACCCCCCUGCCGCCGCCAAAACCCGCUUCAAUGAUUAGCGAAGGUGCCAGGGAAAUUAUGAAAACCAUGUGACAGGUAAAUGGCUGUUCCUGCAACUUUCUUAGGUUUCAAAGGGAGGGCAGCUUGCUCCAGCGUGUGGGCUGGGAAGUCAGGCUUGGCAAGCACUUUCCAGAAGGCACGGGCACAGCAGACCUUACAGAAUUCUGCUUUCCUCUCAGUGGAAUCCAACGGGGCCCCUGGGCCUCCUGAGGCUGAGACCGCCUGUGGACCAGGCUCUGUCCAAACACGGUGCCUUUGUUCCUCCGCCUGAAGGGCGAACAUGCAGACAUUCUGAGCAGGAAGGGAGUGGUGUAAGCAGGUCGGGGGGCGGGGGGUGGGCCCGAGCUUGAGGACCCCUUGAUUACUCAGACCAAUCUUCUCAUGUUCCCAGCCGGGAAACUGAGGCCCAGAGCAAGGAGUUGGCCUGGUGUCAAACAGCUUCUAGGAGACGGAGCCAUGGCUACAGGGAACAAUCGGUGUUUGUCUCAAAUCUUGGGGAAGCUUGAGUGAUACAUGUCCAUGAGGACUUGUGUCCAGAAGCUUCUGUUCACAUUGGCUGGAAAAAAUGCCGCAGGCACAUGGAUUGGCCUUAUCGCAUCUGUGCAUAAUGCUGGGCGUGGCCUGUGGGGCGUAAGGUCAGUGAAGCCUGGCUGGGAUGCACACCGAGAUGCUUGUCAUCCGCCCUGUCCCCCUGGCUCUGUGCCCCAGGUGUCUGGAUGCUCAAAGAACUCACAGGCAGACGACGUCCUAGAAUAGAGCUCAACCUGGGCAAAGGCUGGCUUUGGCAUGGAGAGGCAAGAGUCUACAGUUGCCAAACACCACAGUGGUUCUAAAGGCUACAGGAUUCCAUGAAACACGUGCAAGCAUUUUUGUUGUUGUUGUUUAGGGCCGCACUUGCGGCUUAUGGCAUUUCCCAGGCUAAGGGGCGAAUCAGAGCUGCAGCUGCCGGCUUACGCCACAGCCACAGCAAGAGGGACUUGAGCCUACCCACAGCUCAUGGCAACACCAGAUCCUUCAUCCACUGAGUGAGGCCAGGGAUCGAACCCGCAUCCUCACGGAGACUAGUCGGGUUCGUUUCCACUGCACCACAAUGGGAACUCCCCUGUGAAAGCAUCUUUAGCACCUUGAUUCUGGGGCUCCUACAGGUGGUCCUUAUGUAAACAUAUACUGAGCAAUUCUUAUUUGCUAGCACCUUCAAUAGCUCCCUAUUACCUGCAAGAAAUGGAGCCUAAGCCCUUCUUCCUGUGAUCCUAAAUAUCCUUAUGGAUGUAUCUGUCCUAUUUCUCACGUGUCCUCUUUGGAAACUCAGUACAUACCAUUCACAGCCAUCGUUCUGAAAUCACCUCUGACUCUUUUAAAACCAUGGCCUGGAAUGUUCUUGUCUCUAUCUAUCUGGAGGACUCUUCAUCCUUCUCUCUGACCCAACAACCCCACAAAGAAGGUGACACUUCUCCAUCUGCUCUUCCUUCUCCCAGUCCCCAGGCAGUUGUAGCUUCAAAGCCUAUCUCAAACCUGACCCUUGGCACCCUCUGCAUGGGCGGUCCACUCCCAGCUCCAUGCCACCCUCACCCCUUUCCUGGUCUCCUUGGGGAGGCUCCCCGCUGGUCUCCCUGCUUCCGGUCUACUCCCAUGGCAAGUCGUUCUCCGGGCAGCAGCCGGGGUGAUGUUUUGUCCAUCACACAUCGGAUCCGAUCACUUCUGUGCUCUAGGCCCCCCACAACCCCCACCGUAAACCUCACCCUUGUUGCCGCCGUCUCUCUUGCCUGUCUCUCUGUGGUCGCAUCUACUCUCCGCCUUUUCUCUGCGUUCCUGCCACAGCGAGCCCCUUCUCGUUCCUUGAACAUACGGAGAUUCUUCGGGAACCUUUGCCUUUGGAUGUGCCUGGAAGGCUCUCCUGCCCCUGAUCCUCGCUCAGGGCUGGCUCUUCUCAUAAUUCAGUCUUGGCUCACAAAUCCCCUCCUAGAGAGGUCUUCUCUGGCUGUUCUAUCCAAAGGAGCCUCCUUUGUAUCCUCUGCUGGUUGUCUUUGCUGCAGCCAUCCCUGUAUGAAGUGAUGCUGUGUACUUGUUUCUGUGUUUAUCCCCUGUGCCUCCCACCGUCGUAGAUGGACCUCAGGGAUGCUCUAUCCGGGAUGGUCUUGGCUUUAUGGAUGCAUCGCCAGCGUAUAAAGCAGCCCAGGUGCCGAGUGGGUGGUUAAUAAUAAACACCUCUGAGGGCCUGCACCCCGCAGACAGGGCCUAAUGGAAGAAAGAGAUCCUUGUAGGUUUCCUCUAGGAAGAGGAACCCGGAUGAGCCCUAACAAGACGGCAGGAUGUGUGCAGGUGGAGCGAUGCGGAGAUGGUGUCCCAGGAAGUGGGUCCAGCCAGGAGCAUAAGCUGAAGGGUCAGAAGGAGAGAAGAAGCCAGAGAGAGAACAGCGGGGAGGGAGGCUGAGAGCAGAAGACGCAAGGUCAGCUCUGUGCCUAGGCGAGAGCCUGGGGGUGGGGGCAGACGUUGGAGGCCCAGGAAGGCCAGCUGAGAAGGCCCUUUUCCUUCUCUCACCUUCGCACUGUUUCCCUACAGCCGCGGUUUGCACGCACGCGGUGUUAGUUCUAAUUGAAAAGGAACCUGGGGUGUCACAUAACAUCCUCAUCAGCGAAUGGAAGUGAGGCUCACCCCUGCUGGGACCGAACCUUGUCUGUGCUGAUACAGGGUCUUGAGGGGCAGGAAUAGCAAGCUAUAGAGACUUUGCCCGCAAAUGGGCUCAAAUGGAAUCCAGCCACAGA